AGUGAGCGCUGGCGGUAGGCCUAACACAUGCAAGUCGAACGGCAGCACAGUAAGAGCUUGCUCUUACGGGUGGCGAGUGGCGGACGGGUGAGGAAUACAUCGGAAUCUACUUUUUCGUGGGGGAUAACGUAGGGAAACUUACGCUAAUACCGCAUACGACCUACGGGUGAAAGCAGGGAAUCUUCGGACCUUGCGCGAUUGAAUGAGCCGAUGUCGGAUUAGCUAGUUGGCGGGGUAAAGGCCCACCAAGGCGACGAUCCGUAGCUGGUCUGAGAGGAUGAUCAGCCACACUGGAACUGAGACACGGUCCAGACUCCUACGGGAGGCAGCAGUGGGGAAUAUUGGACAAUGGGCGCAAGCCUGAUCCAGCCAUACCGCGUGGGUGAAGAAGGCCUUCGGGUUGUAAAGCCCUUUUGUUGGGAAAGAAAAGCAGCAGGUUAAUACCCCGCUGUUCUGACGGUACCCAAAGAAUAAGCACCGGCUAACUUCGUG
This 492-nucleotide ribosomal RNA is filed under the name uncultured bacterium. RNAcentral's name for it is "partial 16S ribosomal RNA". It matches the Rfam family "Bacterial small subunit ribosomal RNA", at positions 29 to 507 of the family's 1533-position model. The record is from RNAcentral.